RNAcentral lists this small RNA (878 nucleotides) under Histoplasma ohiense. RNAcentral describes it as "hypothetical lncRNA". Lineage: Eukaryota; Fungi; Ascomycota; Eurotiomycetes; Onygenales; Ajellomycetaceae. The record is from RNAcentral.
UCUGCAUGAAACGUAUUUGCACGUCGCCAUCUGGUAUGUGUGGUUUCAUAAAUUUCAACUUCUCAAACUGACAUCCUACAUCGGUCCAUGAGCCUCAAACUUCGUGUGUAACUGUCAAACUGAAUAUCACACACCAUCGAUCGAUACUUCUAAUGAAGUCCUCGAGUAUUUCCAAGUCCACUGUCUAUAUCAACGUUCCACCAUCCUAAUCGCCCCUCACCCCAGCUUACCUGGCUCUAGAUUCCUCCAUGGGUCCGUCUCACCAGUGCAUAUCCCCGAGAUUCAGACUUGUCUCCAGUGCCUUGGAUACAUUGUGGCAUCCUGAAUAGGAUGGCAUCAUCUGAUCAAAUUAUUGCAUUGUAAAAUCUCUGUAUCUCCAGUUAUAACUAGGCCUAGGUAUUUUCAGUAGUUGGCUCUUCUGAAAGGUACAAAAGGUGUAUUCGCAUCUAUAUAAAUCCAUUCCUCAGUCUUUGAUAUCGUGAAACAAAUAGCACUGAAUGGCGUGCUCCGUAGAUAGGGCUUUUGAGGAAACAACCAUAUUAUCCUCAUUCAAACACAGGAAGGAAAAUCACAAUCAAUUGGAGGUGUAGAUAUGGAAGAUUGCAUAGAGAAGAAAGAGGCUGAGGGAUGGAAGGGGUAUUCGCAAAAUAUUGUCAUUGACCAGGUAGUCGACGAAUCCAUAGAUCAUAAUUCGAGAAGUCAAUGAAAUUUUCCCAACAGAUAUCCAUCUACCAGGUUCGACCGAUAGUCGGGUCAAGUAGCAGAAAAGGCCAAGCUUGGAGUAACAAAACCACAUGUAACGUUAUAGUUAAGGUUGUUGACGAUGAUUACGUCAAACCCACUCGAGAUUGAAAGUGCAUCGUAUCCAUGACACAUAC